Phascolarctos cinereus (koala) is the source of this 1193-nucleotide non-coding RNA. The record is from RefSeq and is a predicted model, not a curated record. Lineage: Eukaryota; Metazoa; Chordata; Mammalia; Diprotodontia; Phascolarctidae.
UGAGACUUUAUCAUUUGUCCCUUGCUUUCUCUUUUGCCUUGUUGCUUUCCCUGAGCAAAGGUGACUGAAUGGUGAUUAUGAGAUGGAUGUUUCUAACCUUGGUGGUUAAUUUAUGAACUUAAACUAACUCAUGACUUUGGGAAUUCUAAAGUCCAUAUGCUGACUGACAGCAGAAGAUUCUUGUUGCAACAGUGACACUUCUUGGAGGAGGGAGAUCACUGGCAGGAUCAUCCUGGUACCUGAAAGCCCCAAAUAUGACCUGUCUAGCCAGAAAACUUGGACCUUAAGCUACUGUUCAGCCAGUACAGACUGAGGUAUACUGUUGGUCACAAAGGGGAUUGGAGAAGAGUAUGGAUACAUGUAAUAAAUCCAUCAUCACUACUGGAAACUACUGGAAAUUCAUUUCAGAGGAUAGACCCUGCUGAUGGUUACUUCCUAUGCCUGGGAUGCUUUCUGUCUUCACCUCUCCCUCUUGGAAUUCCUAGAUCCCUUUGAGGCUCAGCUCGAGUGAUCCUUCCUUCAAAAAGCCUUUCCUGAUUAUCAUAGUUGUCAGUUCCCUUCCCAAAAAAUCACAGAUCUGAAGCUGGCCGAGACCCGAGAGAAUAUCUAGUUCGUUCUGCUCAUUUUGCAAAUGAGGAAACUGAAGCACAGAGAGAAUUAUCUCCAUCCAUAUGGAUGAAUGUGAAGAUCGGAUACAUAUGUGAGCACAUUCAGAUGAGACAUUUAAGGAUGGUCAAGUAUGAUUUGGCAUUCUUUUGAAAUUAUUUCACUUUCUAGCAUCCUUGCAUAUUUUAAGGAACUCUGAUUUCUUAAAAUACUCAAAACCUGACCUCUGGAAGUUGUUGUUGUUGUUUUUUGGUAGUAAAACAGAUGUGACAAUGCCUUUGCAUUUGGAAGACUUUCUUUAAAGAUAAAUGGGAUGAAUUUAUAAAUGAAGAUAGCCCCUAGCAGUAACAGAAAGAAUGACAAAUUGGGGAAAGAGUUCUAUUUAGCUCCUUAUUUCCCACUUAUUGAUAAAUCAUCUUGUUGCUAUAUAAAAAACUUCCACCAAAUAUAAAAUGAAUCCCUAAAAUUAAUCAACAAAAAUGUAUUAAGUGCCAGGGACUGUGCUAGGCAUUGGGGAUACAAAUACAAAGAAAAUGAGAUCUUCUUGAAAGUAAAUCUACAUGGAGGUGCAGCUAGGUUGCACAGUG